GGGUCAGUAGGUUGGUCGUGUCACCGGUACGUACUGGUCUCGCUGAUUCCUCCUUCCUGAAGAACCGUAAUGCCAUUAAUUUGGUGUUGCGGGGAAACAGGACUGUUACUUUGAAAAAAUUAGAGUGUUUAAAGCAAGCUAACGCUUGAAUACAUUAGCAUGGAAUAAUGAAAUAGGACGAUCGAUCCUAUUUUGUUGGUUUCUAGGAUUGACGUA
Molecule: ribosomal RNA, 216 nt
Filed under: Glomeromycotina sp.
Lineage: Eukaryota; Fungi; Glomeromycota
Description: partial small subunit ribosomal RNA
Rfam family: Eukaryotic small subunit ribosomal RNA (bases 44-216)
Source: RNAcentral